Small nuclear RNA from Symphalangus syndactylus (siamang), 194 nucleotides. RefSeq annotates it as U2 spliceosomal RNA. The record is from RefSeq and is a predicted model, not a curated record. NCBI's taxonomy places the organism in Eukaryota, Metazoa, Chordata, Mammalia, Primates, Hylobatidae.
AUCGCUUCUCGGCCUUUUGGCUAAGAUCAAGUGUAAAAAGGAAACACUUUGUAAUACUGAUCUGCAGCUUCCUUGUUUUCCUUUCCAGCUAGCAGUUGUACAUCUUUUAAUAUUUUAGAUCAAAUCCAUUUUUAUAGUGCAUGCAUUUUCAGUUGAUCCUUGAACAACUCGGAGCUGAACUGUACAGGUCCAUU